This is an RNA transcript of Phyllopteryx taeniolatus (common seadragon), 2714 nucleotides long. It is a transcript of the gene named casein kinase II subunit alpha'-like, with no coding region annotated. The transcript has 14 exons. The record is from RefSeq and is a predicted model, not a curated record. NCBI's taxonomy places the organism in Eukaryota, Metazoa, Chordata, Actinopteri, Syngnathiformes, Syngnathidae.
AGACCCGGAUCUAAUCUUGCUGCCAGAUCGCUUCUGGUGCGGACACCGGCCGUUUGAUAAAUUUUGCUACAUUUUUUUAAAUUAAUAAUUUACAAUUUUAUUUAUAUAUUUUUUUUAUUUCGCCAAUCCUGAAGUUUUGUUCCUCGUGUCCGCCUGGUGGUAAAAUAUUGCCUCGUGAAGGGAAAAGUUCUUCUGUUCUUCACAAGCUAAUGUAGAUGUCGGUUGGAAUCGACACUUCCUUGACGAGCUGGCGGCUCUUCAUCACAUACUGCCCAACAUCCUGCUCAGAGGUGCCACACAUUCUGUCAUCGUAGCGCUCUCCUUCUGCACAACAGCUGUGAUAGGUCAGCCCGGCACUUCACAAUCAGUCAAAACCAAUGGUAAAGCCAAUAAAGAGGUCUCAAAGCCACUUAUUCUGGAGAAUCGGUGCGCUGCCUUCCAGUACCGGGGCAACCAAAAUUCAGCGGAAAGUCUGCACCACCGAGCAUCAAAGCUUGCAAUGCCUGCAUCCUCGCCGGUCAGCAGCAAGGCUCGGGUGUACACGGGUGUCAACACGUGGAAGAACAGAGAUUAUUGGGAUUAUGACACGCAUGUGGCAAACUGGAGCAAUCAAGACAACUACCAAUUGCUGCGCAAAUUAGGUAGAGGGAAGUACAGUGAAGUUUUUGAAGCCGUUAAUGUGACCAGCAGUGAAAAAGUAGUGGUAAAAAUCCUCAAGCCUGUCAAGUGGAAGAAGAUCAAACGGGAAAUUAAGAUACUUGAAAAUCUGCGUGGGGGAACCAACAUCAUCCGCCUGAUUGACACAGUUAAAGACCCAGUGUCCAGAACACCAGCACUCGUCUUUGAAUGCAUCAACAAUACACAUUUUAAGGAGCUUUACCACAAGCUGACGGACUAUGAUAUUCGUUACUAUGUGUAUGAGCUUCUCAAGGCUCUAGACUACUGUCACAGUAUGGGCAUCAUGCACAGAGACGUAAAGCCUCACAAUGUGAUGAUCGACCACCAGCUGAGAAAGUUGCGUCUUAUAGAUUGGGGCUUGGCAGAAUUUUACCAUCCUGCUCAGGAAUACAACGUCAGGGUGGCCUCCCGCUAUUUCAAAAGCCCAGAGCUGCUUGUGGAUUACAAGAUGUAUGACUAUAGUUUGGAUAUGUGGAGUCUUGGGUGUAUGUUGGCCAGCAUGAUCUUUCUGAAGGAGCCAUUUUUUCAUGGCCAGGACAACUAUGAUCAGUUGGUUCGCAUUGCUAAGGUUCUUGGCACUGACGAGCUUUUCAGCUACCUGCACAAGUACCACAUAGAACUGAACACUCACUUCAAAGAUCUGCUGGGACGGCAAACACAGAAGCAUUGGGAGCAGUUCGUCCAGACAGAGAACCAACACCUCGUGAGCCCUGAGGCUCUGGACCUGCUGGACAAACUCCUGCGCUAUGACCACCAGCAAAGACUAACAGCAUUGGAGGCCAUGAAGCACCCAUAUUUCUGUUAGUGGUAACUUGGAGAGGUCAAUUAGAUGAUGUGAUCCUGUGGUGAAACUGUCCAAUACUAAUGUGAAUACAGUCAGCACAAAGGCAGUAGGCACCUCCAUUGCAUCGUGAUAGACAGCAGACAGGUGCCAUUGACCUGAAAAUUUCACCAGAUGUUGGGAACAACCCAAGUAAUUCAUAUAUACAGAGAGGCUGGGAGAGGCCACCUCAUCCACACGCAGCAUCAGCACCGGGGCCCCCCAAGGUUGUGUCCUCUCUCUGCUGCUUUUCUCUCUCUACACAAACGACUGCACCUCAACGCCCCCGGCUGUCAAACUCCUGAAGUUUGCAGAUGACACCACAGUCAUCGAUCUCAUCAAAGACGGUGACGAGUCUGCGUAUCGACAGGAAGUGGACUGGUUGGAGUUGUGGUGCGGCCGACACAACCUGGAGCUGAACACGUUCAAGACUGUAGAGAUAAUCGUGGACUUAAGGAGGCAUCCUUCGCCACAGCUGCCCCUCACGCUGUCCAGCUGCCUUGUGUCGACCGUCGAGACCUUCACGUUCCUGGGAAUUAAAGUCUCUCAGGACCUGAAAUGGGAGAUCAACAGCAACUCCGUCCUCAAAAAGGCCCAGCAGAGGAUGUACUUCCUGCGGCUUCUGAGAAAGCACGGUCUGCCACCGGAGCUGUUGAGGCAGUUCUACACAGCGGUCAUCGAAUCAGUACUGUGUUCUUCCAUCACAGUCUGGUUUGGUGCUGCUACAAAAAAGGACAAACACCGACUGCAACGGACAAUCAAAACUGCUGAAAGGAUUGUCGGUACCCUCCUACCCACCCUUGAGGACUUGCACGCUGCCAGAACUAAGACAAGAGCGUGCAAAAUCCUCUCGGACCCUCCACAUCCCGGUCACCAGCUCUUCCAACUCCUUCCCUCAGGAAGAACGUGAUCUCUGCCUCCAUGUCACCAGCCAUACUGGAGCAAGCACUCACUGCAACUCCAGAUCCAUGGAACGUUUGCUGCUUGGAUUUGCAUUAUUCGAGGCCAAGCCUUCAUGUCUCCAACUCCAACCUGUUGUACAGUUUGAGCAAAAGACUGUUCGAUUAGGAUGUAGCCAGUAUUGUGCAGUAAGGCUUUGCUUGUCAUCUGCUGUGACCAGAGAUCUAGUUCCAAUAUUAGCCCUGAGUGGUAUAAAAGCUCUUUUUGUGAUGAAGAGAAUAUAUUGAAAGAGAAUAAAGCCUUUUUGGUAAACAUU